AGAGUUGAUCAUGCUCAGGACGAACGCUGGCGGCGUGCCUAACACAUGCAAGUCGAGCGAGGAGAUCCUUCGGGAUGAUCCUAGCGGCGGACGGGUGAGUAACACGUGGGCAACCUGCCUCAUAGAGAGGAAUAGCCUUCCGAAAGGGAGAUUAAUACCUCAUAACAUUGCAGUUUCGCAUGGAACAGCAAUUAAAGGAGUAAUCCGCUAUGAGAUGGGCCCGCGGCGCAUUAGCUAGUUGGUGAGGUAACGGCUCACCAAGGCGACGAUGCGUAGCCGACCUGAGAGGGUGAUCGGCCACAUUGGGACUGAGACACGGCCCAGACUCCUACGGGAGGCAGCAGUGGGGAAUAUUGCACAAUGGGGGAAACCCUGAUGCAAGCAACGCCGCGUGAGUGAUGACGGCCUUCGGGUUGUAAAGCUCUGUCUUCAGGGACGAUAAUGACGGUACCUGAGGAGGAAGCCACGGCUAACUACGUGCCAGCCGCUGC
Molecule: ribosomal RNA, 491 nt
Filed under: uncultured bacterium
Lineage: Bacteria
Description: bacterial SSU rRNA
Rfam family: Bacterial small subunit ribosomal RNA
Source: RNAcentral